UACGUAGGGGGCUAGCGUUGUCCGGAACCAUUGGGCGUAAAGCGCGUGUAGGCGGUUCGGUAAGUCCGCUGUGAAAGUCGGGGGCUCAACCCUCGAAUGCCGGUGGAUACUGUCGGACUAGAGUACGGAAGAGGCGAGUGGAAUUCCUGGUGUAGCGGUGAAAUGCGCAGAUAUCAGGAGGAACACCAAUUGCGAAGGCAGCUCGCUGGGACGUUACUGACGCUGAGACGCGAAAGCGUGGGGAGUAAACAGG
RNAcentral lists this ribosomal RNA (253 nucleotides) under uncultured bacterium. RNAcentral describes it as "partial 16S ribosomal RNA". It matches the Rfam family "Bacterial small subunit ribosomal RNA", at positions 524 to 776 of the family's 1533-position model. The record is from RNAcentral.